UACCAUUGGGGGUAGAGCUCUGUUAAGGCUAGGGGGUCAUCCCGACUUACCAACCCUUUGCAAACUCCGAAUACCAAUGAGUACUACUCGGGAGACACACGACGGGUGCUAACGUCCGCCGUGAAAAGGGAAACAACCCAGACCACCAGCUAAGGUCCCAAAGUCAUGGUUAAGUGGAAAACGAUGUGGAAAGGCAUAGACAGCUAGGAGGUUGGCUUAGAAGCAGCCACCCUUUAAAGAAAGCGUAAUAG
RNAcentral lists this ribosomal RNA (251 nucleotides) under Mesorhizobium sp. RNAcentral's name for it is "partial 23S ribosomal RNA". It matches the Rfam family "Bacterial large subunit ribosomal RNA", at positions 891 to 1140 of the family's 2925-position model. Lineage: Bacteria; Pseudomonadati; Pseudomonadota; Alphaproteobacteria; Hyphomicrobiales; Phyllobacteriaceae. The record is from RNAcentral.